CCUACGGGUGGCUGCAGUGGGGAAUAUUGGACAAUGGGCGAAAGCCUGAUCCAGCCAUGCCGCGUGUGUGAAGAAGGCCUUCGGGUUGUAAAGCACUUUCAGUGGGGAAGAAAGCCUUGGGGCUAAUACCCUCGAGGAAGGACAUCACCCACAGAAGAAGCACCGGCUAACUCCGUGCCAGCAGCCGCGGUAAUACGGAGGGUGCGAGUGUUAAUCGGAAUUACUGGGCGUAAAGCGCGCGUAGGCGGUCUGAUAAGCCGGUUGUGAAAGCCCCGGGCUCAACCUGGGAACGGCAUCCGGAACUGUCAGGCUAGAGUGCAGGAGAGGAAGGUAGAAUUCCCGGUGUAGCAGUGAAAUGCGUAGAGAUCGGGAGGAAUACCAGUGGCGAAGGCGGCCUUCUGGACUGACACUGACGCUGAGGUGCGAAAGCGUGGGUAGCAAACAGGAUUAGAUACCCUGGUAGUC
RNAcentral lists this ribosomal RNA (465 nucleotides) under Vreelandella stevensii. Its description in RNAcentral is "partial 16S ribosomal RNA". It matches the Rfam family "Bacterial small subunit ribosomal RNA", at positions 338 to 795 of the family's 1533-position model. The record is from RNAcentral. Lineage: Bacteria; Pseudomonadati; Pseudomonadota; Gammaproteobacteria; Oceanospirillales; Halomonadaceae.